Molecule: long non-coding RNA, 1322 nt
Organism: Nerophis ophidion (straightnose pipefish)
Lineage: Eukaryota; Metazoa; Chordata; Actinopteri; Syngnathiformes; Syngnathidae
Exons: 4
Source: RefSeq, a predicted model, not a curated record
CCUCCUUCCACGUGUUGGUCCCGCCUCCUACGUUGCAGUUUCCUGCUCCAUGUUCGAAAGUUCACCUGAGAAGUGUGUCCAGGUGCAUGUCUUUGGAAGUGGGAGGAAGCCGGAGUACCCGGAGGGAACCCACGCAGUCACGGGGAGAACAUGCAAACUCCACACAGAAAGAUCCCGAGCCUGGAUUUGAACCCAGGACUGCAGGAACUUCGUAUUGUGAGGCAGACGCACUAACCCCUCUGCCACCGUGAAGCCCCUGGAGUGUGACUUUUUCUUUAUUAGAGACGACCAGCUACAAAUCCAGCAUCUUUUUCUGCUGUUAUUGAGACUGUACUCAUAUUUAGUUUGGACAGGCGUUAGGCCUGUCUCAACAGGUCUGGUACUGGAUCAAGGACUUUCUAACAGACCGCAUCAGACAGUGAAGGAAAUUCCAUCAUCAAACCUGUGAAAGAUACUCCAGAGGUGGGACUCAUCACAGAAGGGGACGAGACUCCCAAUAGAGAAGAGGUGAAGGCACUGUCAGACCACUAUGACAACAUCUACCUCAUCAGCUCAUUGCUGAUCCAGCCCAUCUACAUCAUGGGAGAUGAGCUGGAAAGGGUCUCCGAGUGCAAGUUCCUGGGCAUGAACAUCUCAAGCAACAUGACCUGGAAAAGCAACACCACUAAACUCCAGAAAAAAGUUCAGCAAAUGCUGUAUUUUGUGAGAAGGCUGAGGACAAUAGAUGUGGUUAAUAACCUGCUGCUGUCCUUCUAUCGCUGCUCCGUUGACUCAAUACUGACCUACGGUAUUUCUGUGUGGUUUCCUAGCUGCAGGCUGGCAGAGAGAAAGAAAUGACAUCACUGCAUGUCCUCUCACAUCUCUUAUAAGAGACACAAACAGCGUCCUCAGGGACUUGAUCACUGCAUGUCCUCUCACAUCUCUUAUAAGAGACACAAACAGCGUCCUCAGGGACUUGAUCACUGCAUGUCCUCUCACAUCUCUUAUAAGAGACACAAACAGCGUCCUCAGGGACUUGAUCACUGCAUGUCCUCUCACAUCUCUUAUAAGAGACACAAACAGCGUCCUCAGGGACUUGAUCACUGCAUGUCCUCUCACAUCUCUUAUAAGAGACACAAACAGCGUCCUCAGGGACUCAUCCCAACCAUGAACUCUUGCCCUCAUGGAGGCGCGACAAGAGCAUCAAAACAAGGACAAAUAGACUGAAAAACAGUUUCUAUCCCAGAGCUGUUGUUGCCCUAAACUCUGCACUGACCUGAACACUCACAACUUGAUUAACUGAUAGAGAUCUGCUUUGCAAUAUGUUUUUAAAUGUUUAUUUU